GCCUACGGGGGGCAGCCGUGAGGAAUAUUGGUCAAUGGCCGGAAGGCUGAACCAGCCAAGCCGCGUGAAGGACGAAGGUGCCAAGCAUUGUAAACUUCUUUUGUCAAGGGACAAAAUCAGGCUCGAGAGCCUGACCGAGGGUACUUGAAGAAAAAGCAUCGGCUAACUCCGUGCCAGCAGCCGCGGUAAUACGGAGGAUGCGAGCGUUAUCCGGAUUUAUUGGGUUUAAAGGGUGCGUAGGCGGAUUUUUAAGUCAGCGGUAAAAUGUCAGGGCUCAACCCGGGCCG
Molecule: ribosomal RNA, 287 nt
Filed under: uncultured bacterium
Lineage: Bacteria
Description: partial 16S ribosomal RNA
Rfam family: Bacterial small subunit ribosomal RNA
Source: RNAcentral